GGAAGAAAAGUGAUCUGAUUGCCACAUCUAUCACUUUAUCAAUCAACAGGAUUGAUUCAGCUAAUCUAGCUGACUAAGCAGGUAUCCCAUGCCUUUCUCAUUUCUCCAUGUGUAUCUCUUCAGAAUUUGUUCACUCAAAGAGGAAUAAAAAUAGAUACUGAUGAUUCUUUAAUCAAAUUUUAUAUAACCAGCUAUGAUCCUUUGCUAGAACCCCCAAACAAUCUCUCAAGUAGAAUUUGCGAAUCCCUGCUAUGAAUCUGUGCUUCUCAACCCUAGC
Molecule: small nuclear RNA, 277 nt
Filed under: Sorex araneus (European shrew)
Lineage: Eukaryota; Metazoa; Chordata; Mammalia; Eulipotyphla; Soricidae
Description: 7SK RNA (ENSSARG00000020121.1)
Rfam family: 7SK RNA
About the family: 7SK was discovered as an abundant small nuclear RNA in the mid-70s but a possible function has only recently been suggested. Two independent studies have found that 7SK RNA binds the CDK9/cyclin T complex (known as elongation factor P-TEFb).
Source: RNAcentral